RNAcentral lists this long non-coding RNA (5503 nucleotides) under Marmota monax (woodchuck). Lineage: Eukaryota; Metazoa; Chordata; Mammalia; Rodentia; Sciuridae. The record is from RNAcentral.
GGCAGUUCCUGCUUGUAAGCAAACUCUUUGUCACACACAGCAUUUCUGUUUAAAGUGAGCAAAAACAAGGAAACCUUUUUUCCUUUUCAACUUUUGUUCUACAAACAUAAAAAACUAGAAAUACCAGAUGGACCUGGCAGUAAUUAAUGCACAGCAAGUUGAACCUUUUACCUGCCAGAUCACUUUGUGUGCCAUAGACAACUAUAAUUGAAAUGUGAUUUAGCUGAACGCUGGGUUCCACGGUUGACUUUUCCUUGAGUAAGUGAUCAGUUUUGUCUUUCCAUUGCUUUGGUCUAACACAGAAAUGAAGUUGCCUGUAAAAAAAACUCUUGCCUUCAGCAUCAGUUUAUUUUUUACACUUCUGACUUAUAUUUUGAAGUGGCCACUAUUUUUAUAAUUUUUCCCAGAGCACUUAGGGGCAAAUUAAGGAAUACAGGUAGUAACAGUGGUAGAGGGCAGCUGGGGAGGCAUUCAGCAUGUUCUGGAGCUAGUCCCACAGCCGGUGUCUGGAUUGAAGAUGGAAAAUCUGACUUCCAAAUGAACCAGGCUGGCAAAGGGCCACCCUUUUAGUUCUAACCUAGUUUGGGCAGAUUCUGAGAAGCUGCAUUUUCUUUAAAGCCUUCAAGCUAGUUACAGGUUGGCAGGAGGAAUUCACCUGUCAAGAUCAGCUUCUGGACCGGAGCUAACCAGGAUCUGCCACCCUGUGGAUACUGAAAGUGGCACAGUCCCCUUCAAGUACAGGAAGUAAAGGGAACAGGGCACUGUGACCUCAACUAGGAGAUCCCUGUCCAAAACGUUUCAAAUUCUAGUCCUCCUAAGCCUAUAGUUGCCUGAAUUUUCAUCAUUUUUUUGCACCAUAGAUCUCAUUAUUUAUUCUAAGAAUAAUAUUUUUAUGUUUUAAUUUUUAGGUUUCUCUGAUGCUGGGGGAUGGAACCGAGGUCCUAAAGCAUGUGAAGUAUGGGCUCUACCAGUAAGCUUAAUAUUUUUUGCUUAUUUUUGUUUUGUCAAUAGUGGCGAUUGAACUCAGGUCUUUGCACAUGCUAGGCAAGUGUUCUACCACUGAGCUACAUCCCCAGCCCCCAUGAGUAAUAUUUUAAGUGAAUAAAAUAAGCAUAUAUAUGUACAUAUAUAAUUUAUAUAUAAUAUGUAUAUAAUGUUAUAUAUAAUAAAUAUAUAAUAAUUUUUUAUAUAUAGUAAUAUAUGUACUUCCUUGUUAACAUAUUAAAUGAUAUGAUCUGGGUCCUAAUGACUACCAUAUAUUUAAAAUUGCUUAAGUGAUAUUUCUAAGAUAUCUGCAAAAGCAGUAAUGGGAUAUGAAAAGACCUAUGUUUUUUUUUUUUUUUUUAAACGAAAACCUGCAGGUACAUCUAAUACUACUCUGGUUCCUUGCCUACAUUCAUUAUUGAAGGAAAUGCUAAAUUUUAUUUAGAGGUGGGUGAAAAUUAAAAUUUAAUGUUUUCAUCUAAGAUCGCCUUAGAUUCUACCCGUGGACCAAGGCUAACAAACAAUACCUGAGAAAUUUGAAAACAAACAAAAACCCAACUAAUAAGCAGAGUUCAAGAACCAAGUGCUACCUGAAUGAAAAACAACUUCUAGGCUGGGGAGGCUCCUUCUUUUCCUACCAUUUUGUUUGCAAAUCUCAGUCCUAGUUACCUAGUGGAGGAUGCCGUCUGCCCUUCAUCUCCUGUUACCUGCUGGUGUGGGUUUGCACCGAGUAGUGCUGUUUCUGAACACCAGCACUACCUCAGAGAAAUAAUCUCUUUUUCUCAAAGAGAUAUAUCAUGGGCGUGGUGAUACAUGCAUGUAAUCCAGGAACUCCAGAGGCUGAGGCAGGAGGAUUCCAAGUACAAGGCAAUUUAGUGAGACACUGUCUCAAAAUAAAAACUAAAAAAGGGCUGGGAUGUAGCUCAGUGGCAGAGCACCCCUGGGUCCAAUCACUAGAACUGCCAAAAAAAAAAAGAGGGGGGGGGGGAGGGAGAGAAAAGGAGGGGGAGGAGGAGAAGAAGAAGAAAAGGAGGAGGAAGAAGGAGGGGGGAAGGGAAGGGGCAGGCAGCCACUGAAGGACAAUUAUUCAGAUACUCUACUGCCAAAUCUCCCAGAAAAUUGAGAAAAAAUAGGAUCCUUUUCUUAAUGAUUUAUCCCCAUCAAUGAUUUUGCCAUCAGCGUCCUUAAUUGUGAAGACUGCCUCAGUUAAAAGCCCAUUGUCCCCCAGCCAAAUAUUCUUCUAUGAACCUGUAAUUAGAGGUCAACAGAUGAUGUUCUAGAAUAUGAUCUUCUAGCCUAAUGUUGGUGUUUCAGAUUGGACCAAACUCAGACUUCCAAGAAUUACAACCUUGGAGUCAUCUUCAAUAUUGGUUUUUAAAAAACUAUCCUAUUAGCAGAAAUGAAACAGAGUGGCAAAGACAACUGUUGCUGUCCACAAAACUAAAAGGCACAUUAACCACAAACCUAAUAUCAAUCAAGUCACCAUCCUCACACAAUGAAAAUAUUACCACAAAGCUUAGCAAGAGAGACUUUGAAGCCUAAACCCUAGGCAGUGAUUCUUCUGUCAAAAAAAGUUUAAAAAUCUCAAUUAAUGGAUGGGGGAAAUACAUUCAUUCAUAUUUUUAUUGAGAGACAUAAUAUACUAGCCAAAAGAAACGAGAGUUUCCUGUGUAAAAUGUGUAUCCACUUUAAUAAAGGAUCAGUGGAGUUAAUGCUGCUAGCUGAGUGACCUUCACACAUGAGGGUGUGUGUAUAAUGCUGCAAAGAAUGUGUAAGUGAUUUUAAUAGUUUUCAAGGACACAAGUGCUUAGGUGGACAAAGUGUGUUCUGUGUUUUAUUUUAAAGCAAUGUGCUAAUUCAGAAGGGUAGUGCCUAUUAAAAAAAUGCUUUCUUGAUAAUUACCGCCCAUGUAAAAAAAAAGAUACUGAUUUCAACUGGGGCCUUGUUCUUUGAAAAUAAUAUCUUGCUAAAUUUGAAAAGCUGAAGAAAUUCUAAGAAGUUGUGGUUGAUAUAAACCUUGAUAUUUGCACGAGGGCAAACUGAAUUCUGAAUUACAGAUCCGGGAUCAACUUCACUUGGUCAUGAGAAAUGCAAAUCAAAACGGUGAGAUAGGAGCUGGAGUUGUGGUUCAGUGGUAAAACACUUAACCUCGUAUGUGUGAGGCACUGGGUUCAAUUCUCAUCAUAUUCAAUUCUCAUCAUAUAAAAAAUAAAUAAAUGAAAUAAAGUUAAAAAAAGAGAAAAAAGUGAGAUACUACUCUACACCCACCACAGUGGAUAGACUAAAAAUAAAUAAGAAAAAUAGCAACUGUUUAUAAGAUGUAGAAACAAAAAUUAACCCACAUACACCGUUAGUGGGAAUGUAAUAUGGUCAGCUACUGUGGGAAACAACUGGAAGUUCCUAAAAGAGUUGAACAUACAAGUUAUCAUUUGAUCCAGCUAUUGCUUCAUUUUUUUGGUACACAUCCCAGAGAAAUGAAAACAUGUCCACAAAAGACCUGGUGCAUGAAUGUUCAUAGCAGCAUUAUUCAUAAUAGCAAAAAAGUAGAGGAAAUCCAUGUGUCCAUCAUCUGAGGAAUGGAUAACAAACUGGAAUCUUAAUACAAUGCAAUGUUAACUGACCAGGAAAAGCAAUAUAGUACUGAGAUUUACUAUGAUAGAGAUGAAUGUUAAAAUAUUUUGCUAUGUCAAAGAAGACAGAAAAGAUGGCAUGUUGUAUGAUUCCAUAUAUGAAAUGGACAGAGUGGGCAAAUUGAUCGAGACAGAAAAUAGAUCAGUGAUCGCUUAGGUCUUAGGGAGAUUGUGAGGGUGAAAGCUAAAAAUUACAGGAGAUUUUGAGGGUCAAUGAUUAAAAUAUGGUAAAGUGAAUGUUGCACAACUCUGUGCAUGAAUUGUACACUUCAAAUAAGUACAAUCUGGAUCGUAUAGUAGGUAAAUUGUACCUCAAUAAAAUUGUUACAUAAAAAUAAAACAUGAUUCAAAUGACUUCUUACCUUGAAAUCAGACAGACAAAUAUGUUCCUAUGAAAAGAAUCCAAAACACAUUCAUUCAUUCAUUCAUUCGUGAAUAGGUAUAGGAUAAGAAAUAGGAAAAGAAGUAGGUGUGUGGGGAAAAUCAGUUUGAAACUUUGUUCUACUUAUUUAUUUAUUUGUACCUGGGACUGAACUUAGGGGCACUAGACCACUGAGCCACAUCCCCAGCCCUAUUUUGUAUUUUACUUAGAGUCAGGGUUCACUGAGUUGCUUAGCACCUCACUUUUUGCUGAGGCUGGCUUUGAACUCACAAUCCUCCUGCUUUAGCCUCCUGAGUCACUGGGAUUACACACACGUGUCAUUGCGCCUGGCUGUUCUUUUUAUUUUGUAAUUAAAAUGUACAUUUUGUAAUUAAAAGUUAUUUACAUAACUUUAUAUCCUUGCAGAAUGUUCUUUAUCUAGUUGGGUGCUUUCAGUCUUCAUUUCUUCAGUCUGGUGUCUCUAGUACCAGCCCUGCUUUCCUUUUCUUUGCAUGGAUUUUCUCUGAUACUUGAAACACGUCAGUUACCAUACAGUUGGAUUCACACUAUGAAUCUUACUUUUAAACCAAAUCUGGUCAUUUUUAUUUUUUAAUGGGUGCAUUCAGCUCUUCACAUCUAGUGUUCUUAGAAGACUAGAUUUUGGCUCCCUCUUUUCCUUCCUACAUUCGCUCAUUUCAAAAAGUUCAUAUACUUUUCACUUCGGGUUUUCUUUUCUUUCUUUUUGUGUGCUGGGGACUGAACCCAGGGCUUUGUGCAUGUGAGGCAAACACUCUACCAACUGAGCUAUAUCCCCAGCCCUCCCUUUUGGUUUUCUUGGUUUGUAUUAUCUCCUGUGUUUUUAAAUAGUUUACUUGUUCUUAGCGUAUUUUCUGGGGGGGGGGGGAUACUGGGGAUUGAACCCAGGGGCACUUAACCACUGAGCUACAGGCCAGCCUUCUUCAUAUUUUAGAGAUAGGGUCUCUCUCAGUUGCUCAGGGCCUCACUAAGUUGCUGAGGCUGGUUUUAAACUCAUGAUCUUCCUGCCUCAGACUCCGAGGUGCUGGAAUCAGAGGUGGGAGCCACCAGGCCUGGCCCUUCUUGGCAUUCCUUAUUGGAAUGUAUAUCUUUGGUAUUUCCUAUAAAUGUCACCCCUGAGAUGCAGUGUUUUCCCAACCUUGUGUUCUAGUCCAGCUCUGCUGUCCCCCAAUACUCUUCCACCUCACAGCACAGACCCUUAGGGCAUUUCUACUCACUCUCCUUUCUCACUAUUCUCACGAACAUCUGGGACUCUUCUUCUACCAUCCUCCACAGACUUUAAUUGUCUCCCAGCAUCAUUUAAAAAAUCUCCUACAGAAAGGCCAACUGUGCCAAUGAGAUGGCUGGAAGCUAAACCAAGAACACCUGUGUGAACCGUGGAAUCUCAACGUCAGAGAGGACCUACAAGGAUCUCAGGGGACAGUUACUAAGGUAUGGUGACAGUCUAUUUGAUUCUGUGCCACUAACAAAAGGAUUUCAGCUGUGUGAUUAG